UUUUCAGGUCUGGUAAUUGGAAUGAGUACAAUUUAAAUCCAUUUCAGCGAGGAUCCAUUGGAGGGCAAGUCUGGUGCCAGCAGCCGCGGUAAUUCCAGCUCCAAUAGCGUAUAUUAAAAUUGCUGCAGUUAAAAAGCUCGUGGUUGGAUUUCUGGUGUGGUGCACCGAGCCCGCUUCUUCAUUUUUGGGGAGGAGAGUGCUUGUUUCGUGCGCCUACCAUCCCUUCCAGACGUGGGUGUUGCGGAUCGUGUCNUUUUGGUCGGGNAUUGGCGGAUUCNUUCGCUUGUUUCCGAUUGGGGCGGCUCGGGUCGCAGCAUCAAUUUAAGCGUCUGGAUCGUUUACUUUGAAAAAAUUAGAGUGUUUAAAGGAGGCGUUGUUUGCUCUGAAUACAUUAGCAUGGAAUAAUAAGAUAGGACUUUGGUUCNAUUUUGUUGGUUUCUAGGACUGAAGUAAUGAUUGAUAGGAACAGUUGGGGGUGCUAGUAUUUAACGGCCAGAGGUGAAAUUCUUGGAUUCGUUAAAGACUAACAAAAGCGAAAGCAUUCACCAAGGAUGUCUCCUUUAAUCANGAACGAAAGUUGGGGGAUCGAAGACGAUCAGAUACCGUCGUANUCUCCACCAUAAACUAUACCGACUAGGGAUGAGUGGACGUUG
This 653-nucleotide ribosomal RNA is filed under the name uncultured Granofilosea. RNAcentral's name for it is "bacterial SSU rRNA". It matches the Rfam family "Eukaryotic small subunit ribosomal RNA", at positions 493 to 1065 of the family's 1831-position model. Lineage: Eukaryota; Cercozoa. The record is from RNAcentral.